Molecule: long non-coding RNA, 688 nt
Organism: Mauremys reevesii (Reeves's turtle)
Lineage: Eukaryota; Metazoa; Chordata; Testudines; Geoemydidae
Exons: 3
Source: RefSeq, a predicted model, not a curated record
CUGUUGUAAGUCCCUCCACAGAUGGAAAGAAAGGAACACUUGUGCUGGAGAAACACAAUGGCAGCUACACCCCAGGCUUCGGAAAGAGCACUGGAGAUGACUAAGAAUUUCUUGGCAAAGAGCUGAGAAGGAUCACUAUGGAGACCACUAUGAUGUUCUAAGGAAUGAGGACCUCAGUUCCCACCCCAAGCUGAAUGUUUCCAAGCACGCAAGCAAGCAUCAGCAAUGCAACAGAGAAUCGUGCCAACCACCAGCAGAAUGGGCUUCCUUUAUUAGUAAUUUCUCUCAGGGUGUAUUAAGGCGGUUUUUGAUUAGUAACUAGGACUCGGCUGCACGCUAACCCCCACCCAUCCACACCUCACUGGAGAUAGGAGAAGUGCAGACUAGCUAUUACUGUGCUCCAAACAACCAAGUUAAAGGAUAAACUGAUAUUUCUAAAGGAAAAUAAGAGCGGCCUGGACACAGGUGGCGAAAGAGUGCUGUGAAUUGUGCUCUUCCUUCAUGUCUCUCCUUUAACAAUGAAUGAGGCCAGGCUGUUUACUUGCCCAUGGAAAAUGGCCCCAAGCAGCAGUCUACGCUGUGCAAGAAGAAAUAGGAAGCAAGACUUGUGAACAGGAAAUAGACUCCAGGAAAACACACCUCCUUUUGGAAUGAGUUUCCCACUUAACAAGAAUCAGUCUGAUCCAGG